RNAcentral lists this ribosomal RNA (589 nucleotides) under uncultured bacterium. RNAcentral's name for it is "bacterial SSU rRNA". It matches the Rfam family "Bacterial small subunit ribosomal RNA", at positions 338 to 916 of the family's 1533-position model. The record is from RNAcentral.
CCUACGGGAGGCAGCAGUGGGGAAUUUUGGACAAUGGGCGAAAGCCUGAUCCAGCAAUGCCGCGUGAGUGAAGAAGGCCUUCGGGUUGUAAAGCUCUUUUGUCAGGGAAGAAACGGUGAGAGCUAAUAUCUCUUGCUAAUGACGGUACCUGAAGAAUAAGCACCGGCUAACUACGUGCCAGCAGCCGCGGUAAUACGUAGGGUGCAAGCGUUAAUCGGAAUUACUGGGCGUAAAGCGUGCGCAGGCGGUUUUGUAAGUCUGAUGUGAAAUCCCCGGGCUCAACCUGGGAAUUGCAUUGGAGACUGCAAGGCUAGAAUCUGGCAGAGGGGGGUAGAAUUCCACGUGUAGCAGUGAAAUGCGUAGAUAUGUAGGAGGAACACCGAUGGCGAAGGCAGCCCCCUGGGUCAAGAUUGACGCUCAUGCACGAAAGCGUGGGGAGCAAACAGGAUUAGAUACCCUAGGUAGUCCACGCCCUAAACGAUGUCUACUAGUUGUCGGGUCUUAAUUGACUUGGUAACGCAGCUAACGCGUGAAGUAGACCGCCUGGGGAGUACGGUCGCAAGAUUAAAACGUCAAAAGGAAUUGACGG